This is a long non-coding RNA of Phyllostomus discolor (pale spear-nosed bat), 229 nucleotides long. RefSeq lists it as uncharacterized. The record is from RefSeq and is a predicted model, not a curated record. The transcript has 2 exons. Lineage: Eukaryota; Metazoa; Chordata; Mammalia; Chiroptera; Phyllostomidae.
AUUCCUACCUGUGGAGCUGCUCGCACCGAGGCUGGAACUCGCACAACUGCAACCACGGGGAGGACGCUGGAGUCAUCUGCUCAGGGUUCAGGACUGAAUCAAGUUUGGCCCUGAGGCUGGUGAAUGGAGAUAACCGGUGUCAGGGCCGAGUGGAGGUUCUCUACAAAGGUUCCUGGGGGACCGUGUGUGACGACAGUUGGGACAUCAACGAUGCCAACGUGGUGUGCAG